UACGUAGGGUGCGAGCGUUGUCCGGAAUUAUUGGGCGUAAAGAGCUCGUAGGCGGUUUGUCGCGUCGACUGUGAAAACCCGAGGCUUAACCUCGGGCCUGCAGUCGAUACGGGCAGACUAGAGUUCGGUAGGGGAGACUGGAAUUCCUGGUGUAGCGGUGAAAUGCGCAGAUAUCAGGAAGAACACCGACGGCGAAGGCAGCUCGCUGGGACGGUACUGACGCUGAGGCGCGAAAGCCGGGGGAGCAAACGGG
RNAcentral lists this ribosomal RNA (253 nucleotides) under uncultured bacterium. RNAcentral's name for it is "partial 16S ribosomal RNA". It matches the Rfam family "Bacterial small subunit ribosomal RNA", at positions 524 to 776 of the family's 1533-position model. The record is from RNAcentral.